GAAAUGCGAUAAGUAUGUGAAUUGCAGAAUUCAGUGAAUCAUCGAAUCUUUGAACGCACAUUGCGCCCGCCAGCACUCUGGCGGGCAUGCCUGUUCGAGCGUCAUUUCAACCCUCAGAACCCCUUGCGGGAUCUGGCGUUGGGGAUUGGCAUCCAGCCAGCCCCGAAAUCUAGUGGCGGUCCCUCCGCGACCUCCCCUGUGCAGUAGCGAUACCUCGCAGCGGGACAGCGGUCUGACCACGCCGUAAAACCCCCAACUUCUCAAGGUUGACCUCGAAUCAGGUAGGAAUACCCGCUGAACUUAAGC
RNAcentral lists this unclassified non-coding RNA (306 nucleotides) under plant metagenome. RNAcentral's name for it is "partial contains 5.8S ribosomal RNA, internal transcribed spacer 2, and large subunit ribosomal RNA". The stretch from base 1 to 104 matches the Rfam family "5.8S ribosomal RNA", at positions 50 to 154 of the family's 154-position model. The record is from RNAcentral.